ACACGACUACAUUAGAUACCCGCGUAGUCCUAGCCGUAAACGAUACUCGCUAGGUGUCGGCCACGGUGCGACCGUUGUCGGUGCCGUAGGGAAGCCGUGAAGCGAGCCACCUGGGAAGUACGGCCGCAAGGCUGAAACUUAAAGGAAUUGGCGGGGGAGCACAACAACGGGUGGAGCUUGCGGUUUAAUUGGAUUCAACGCCGGAAAUCUUACCGGGACCGACAGCAACAUGAAAGCCAAGCUGAAGACUUUGCCGGAUUAGCUG
Molecule: ribosomal RNA, 265 nt
Filed under: uncultured archaeon
Lineage: Archaea
Description: partial 16S ribosomal RNA
Rfam family: Archaeal small subunit ribosomal RNA
Source: RNAcentral